Molecule: ribosomal RNA, 253 nt
Filed under: uncultured bacterium
Lineage: Bacteria
Description: partial 16S ribosomal RNA
Rfam family: Bacterial small subunit ribosomal RNA
Source: RNAcentral
UACGUAGGGUGCGAGCGUUAUUCGGAAUUACUGGGCGUAAAGCGUGCGCAGGCGGUUCGUUGUGUCUGAUGUGAAAGCCCCGGGCUUAACCUGGGAAUGGCAUUGGAAACUGGCGAGCUGGAGUGUGGCAGAGGGGGGUGGAAUUCCGCGUGUAGCAGUGAAAUGCGUAGAGAUGCGGAGGAACACCGAUGGCGAAGGCAGCCCCCUGGGCCAACACUGACGCUCAGGCACGAAAGCGUGGGGAGCAAACAGG